UCCUGCCCAGUGACAUAGUUCAACGGCCGCGGUAUCCUAACCGUGCAAAGGUAGCAUAAUCACUUGUCUAUUAAUUGUAGACUAGAAUGAAAGGAAAAACGAAAUAUAGUCUGUCUCUAUAGAUUAAACAAAAAUUAGUAUCUAACUGAAGAGUGUUAGAUAAAAUCGAAGGACAAGAAGACCCUAUAGAGCUUUAUCUAAACAAGAAAUAACAUUCUUUAUAGGAUUCGGUUGGGGCGACCAAGGAUAUCUUUAAUCAUCCUUCAUCAAUAGAUUUAUUAAUCCAAAUUUUGAUCCUAAGUAUAGACAAUAAACCAAGCUACCUUAGGGAUAACAGGCUAAUCCUGCUAGAGAGUCCUUAUCUAAAGCAGGGAUUGGCACCUCGAUGUUGGCUUAGGGGAACUAUGUGACGCAAAAGUCACAUAAAGAUGGUUUGUUCAACCAAUAAAUCCCUACAUGAGCUGAGUUCAGACCGGCGUAAGCCAGGUUAGUUUCUAUCCACGAUAACUAUAAACCUAUCCAUAGUACGAAAGGACCUGGAUAAGGGUAAAUAUUACAACAAAUGAAUUAAUAUAAUAUUUUAUAAUCUUCUAGUACUAAAAACUAUAAGUGUUUUGGCAGAUUAGUGCCACUGAUUUAGGAUCAGUAAAUGGAUUAAACCACUCACUACCUGCAACUUAGUUUAUUUAGAAUAAUCAACUUGCACUUGAUAGGAGAAACUUUCAGUAGCGACUUAGAGUUUUGGAAACAAUAGACCUUGAAAGUCUACAUAAGAUGUUCGAAUCAUCUUUAAGUCUAACAAGAU
This 805-nucleotide unclassified non-coding RNA is filed under the name Carpetania elisae. RNAcentral's name for it is "Hormogaster elisae partial contains 16S ribosomal RNA, tRNA-Leu, tRNA-Ala, tRNA-Ser, and tRNA-Leu". The stretch from base 1 to 644 matches the Rfam family "Bacterial large subunit ribosomal RNA", at positions 1857 to 2925 of the family's 2925-position model. Lineage: Eukaryota; Metazoa; Annelida; Clitellata; Crassiclitellata; Hormogastridae. The record is from RNAcentral.